ACGUACACUCCUGCGGGAGGCAGCAGUGGGGAAUUUUGGACAAUGGGCGCAAGCCUGAUCCAGCCAUGCCGCGUGCGGGAAGAAGGCCUUCGGGUUGUAAACCGCUUUUGUCAGGGAAGAAAAGGUUCUGGCUAAUACCUGGGACUCAUGACGGUACCUGAAGAAUAAGCACCGGCUAACUACGUGCCAGCAGCCGCGGUAAUACGUAGGGUGCAAGCGUUAAUCGGAAUUACUGGGCGUAAAGCGUGCGCAGGCGGUUAUGCAAGACAGAGGUGAAAUCCCCGGGCUCAACCUGGGAACUGCCUUUGUGACUGCAUGGCUAGAGUACGGUAGAGGGGGAUGGAAUUCCGCGUGUAGCAGUGAAAUGCGUAGAUAUGCGGAGGAACACCGAUGGCGAAGGCAAUCCCCUGGACCUGUACUGACGCUCAUGCACGAAAGCGUGGGGAGCAAACAGGAUUAGAAACCCGGGUAGUCCCAU
RNAcentral lists this ribosomal RNA (478 nucleotides) under uncultured organism. Its description in RNAcentral is "partial 16S ribosomal RNA". It matches the Rfam family "Bacterial small subunit ribosomal RNA", at positions 329 to 798 of the family's 1533-position model. The record is from RNAcentral.